This 428-nucleotide ribosomal RNA is filed under the name uncultured bacterium. RNAcentral describes it as "bacterial SSU rRNA". It matches the Rfam family "Bacterial small subunit ribosomal RNA", at positions 335 to 747 of the family's 1533-position model. The record is from RNAcentral.
ACUCCUACGGGAGGCAGCAGUAGGGAAUCUUCCACAAUGGACGAAAAGUCUGGUGGAGCAACGCCGCGUGAGUGAAGAAGGGUUUCGGCUCGUAAAACUCUGUUGUUAAAGAAAGAACAUAUCUGAGAGUAACUGUUCAGGUAUUGACGGUAUUUAACCAGAAAGCCACGGCUAACUACGUGCCAGCAGCCGCGGUAAUACGUAGGUGGCAAGCGUUGUCCGGAUUUAUUGGGCGUAAAGCGAGCGCAGGCGGUUUUUAAGUCUGAUGUGAAAGCCUUCGGCUCAACCGAAGAAGUGCAUACGGAAACGUAGGGAACUUGAGUGCAGAAGAGGACAGUGAACUCAUGUGUAGCGGUAGAAAUGCGUAGAUAUAGUAGGAACGAACACCGAGUGGACGGAAGGCGGCUGUCUGGUCUGUAACUGACGCU